RNAcentral lists this small RNA (27 nucleotides) under Arabidopsis thaliana (thale cress). RNAcentral describes it as "ATSL098110". Lineage: Eukaryota; Viridiplantae; Streptophyta; Magnoliopsida; Brassicales; Brassicaceae. The record is from RNAcentral.
AUUUUUUCUCUUUUUUUUUCCUUUUUU